This 500-nucleotide ribosomal RNA is filed under the name uncultured bacterium. Its description in RNAcentral is "partial 16S ribosomal RNA". It matches the Rfam family "Bacterial small subunit ribosomal RNA", at positions 30 to 523 of the family's 1533-position model. The record is from RNAcentral.
AUUGAACGCUGGCGGAAUGCUUUACACAUGCAAGUCGAACGGCAGCACGGACUUCGGUCUGGUGGCGAGUGGCGAACGGGUGAGUAAUGUAUCGGAACGUGCCCAGUCGUGGGGGAUAACGUAGUGAAAAUUACGCUAAUACCGCAUACGAUCUAUGGAUGAAAGCGGGGGAUCGCAAGACCUCGCGCGAUUGGAGCGGCCGAUAUCAGAUUAGGUAGUUGGUGGGGUAAAGGCCCACCAAGCCAACGAUCUGUAGCUGGUCUGAGAGGACGACAAGCCACGCGGGAACGGGGACACGGUCCAGACUCCUACGGGGGGCAGCAGUGGGGAAUUUUGGACAAUGGGCGAAAGCCUGAUCCAGCCAUUCCGCGUGAAGGAUGAAGGCCCUCGGGUUGUAAACUGCUUUUGUACAGAACGAAAAGGUUUCUACUAAUACUAGGAGCUCAUGACGGUACUGUAAGAAUAAGCACCGGCUAACUACGUGCCAGCCGCCGCCGUAA